UGUCUAUCUAUUUAUUGCAGGUUAUAUCAGGGAUUGAAAGUGCUGUGAGAUCGAUGAAAGUAGGCAGCCUUCGUCGAGUUAUUAUACCACCAUCUCAAGGAUAUCAGAAUGCAUCCCAAGAACCCCUGCCACCUAAUUAUUUUGAUCGGCAGAGGCUUUUUACUACCAUUUUUAAUCCAACCCGUCUUGCAAAUGGAGAAGGCGCGACAUUGGGGACAGUCAUAUUUGAUAUCGAACUGGUCAGCCUGAGGCAUCUUUGAUCUGCAGGCAUUUUUCUCCUCUUAACUGGAGUACGGAGCAAUUGUUGUCAGUUCGAUGACGAUGAAAGAUGAUGAAAUAGUUUCUGGCUAAUGCUUGGGUGUUAAAGAAGCCUCGGUGAAAAGUUUGGUCAUCUGAUGUGUAAAGGAAAAAUGACACUGUAUAGCCGCUCUCAAAAUAAUAGCCGAAAAAAUAUAUAUUUUUAGUAUAUUUUUUGGGUGUGUGUUGUGUGUGUGUGUGUG
This is a non-coding RNA of Nicotiana tabacum (common tobacco), 500 nucleotides long. The record is from RefSeq and is a predicted model, not a curated record. NCBI's taxonomy places the organism in Eukaryota, Viridiplantae, Streptophyta, Magnoliopsida, Solanales, Solanaceae.